UAGGGAAUCUUCGGCAAUGGGGGGAACCCUGACCGAGCAACGCCGCGUGAGUGAAGAAGGUUUUCGGAUCGUAAAGCUCUGUUGUUAAGGAAGAACGAGUGUGAGAAUGGAAAGUUCAUACUGUGACGGUACUUAACCAGAAAGGGACGGCUAACUACGUGCCAGCAGCCGCGGUAAUACGUAGGUCCCGAGCGUUGUCCGGAUUUAUUGGGCGUAAAGCGAGCGCAGGCGGUUAGAUAAGUCUGAAGUUAAAGGCAGUGGCUCAACCAUUGUAGGCUUUGGGAACUGUUUAACUUGAGUGCAGAAGGGGAGAGUGGAAUUCCAUGUGUAGCGGUGAAAUGCGGAGAUAUAUGGAGGAACACCGGUGGCGAAAGCGGCUCUCUGGUCUGUAACUGACGCUGAGGCUCGAAAGCGUGGGGAGCGAACAGG
Molecule: ribosomal RNA, 429 nt
Filed under: Bacteroidota bacterium
Lineage: Bacteria; Pseudomonadati; Bacteroidota
Description: Bacteroidetes bacterium partial 16S ribosomal RNA
Rfam family: Bacterial small subunit ribosomal RNA
Source: RNAcentral